Molecule: ribosomal RNA, 602 nt
Filed under: uncultured soil bacterium
Lineage: Bacteria
Description: bacterial SSU rRNA
Rfam family: Bacterial small subunit ribosomal RNA
Source: RNAcentral
GCUGGCGGCGCGCUUAACACAUGCAAGUCGAACGAGAAAGUGGAGCAAUCCAUGAGUACAGUGGCGUACGGGUGAGUAACACGUGGGUAAUCUACCUCUUAGUGGGGAAUAACCCUGGGAAACCGGGGCUAAUACCGCAUAAUCCCGAGAGGGGAAAGUCGUAAGACGCUGAGAGAGGAGCCCGCGGCCGAUUAGCUAGUUGGAGGGGUAAGAGCCCCCCAAGGCAGAGAUCGGUAGCCGGCCUGAGAGGGCACACGGCCACACUAACACUGAAACACGGGCCAGACUCCUACGGGAGGCAGCAGUGGGGAAUCUUGCACAAUGGGGGCAACCCUGAUGCAGCGACGCCGCGUGAGCGAUGAAGCCCUUCGGGGUGUAAAGCUCUUUCGGCAGGGAAGAUGAUGACGGUACCUGCAGAAGCAGCUGCGGCUAACUACGUGCCAGCAGCCGCGGUAAUACGUAGGCAGCAAGCGUUGUUCGGAGUUACUGGGCGUAAAGGGUGUGUAGGCGGCUUUUUAAGUUUGGUGUGAAAUCUCCCGGCUUAACUGGGAGGGUGCGCCGAAUACUGAAAGGCUAGAGUGCGGGAGAGGAAAGUGGAAUUC